RNAcentral lists this ribosomal RNA (420 nucleotides) under Speleomantes imperialis. RNAcentral describes it as "Hydromantes imperialis partial 16S ribosomal RNA". It matches the Rfam family "Bacterial large subunit ribosomal RNA", at positions 1993 to 2600 of the family's 2925-position model. The record is from RNAcentral. Lineage: Eukaryota; Metazoa; Chordata; Amphibia; Caudata; Plethodontidae.
UGAAUGGCAAAACGAAAGCUCAACUGUCUCCACAGGUUAAUCAAUGAAAUUGAUCUUUCCGUGCAGAAGCGGAAAUAUUUUUAUAAGACAAAAAGACCCUAUGGAGCUUCAAAUUUAAAUUAAUUAUAUAUGCUAAAAAUACAAUACAUAAUUUAAUGUAAGAUUUUAGGUUGGGGCGACCACGGAGUAAACUACAACCUCCGAGAUAAAUAAUUAAGAAAAACACUUCAAGAUAAUAAGACAAUUAAUAUACUUGAUCCAAUAUUUGAUCAACGAACCAAGUUACCCUAGGGAUAACAGCGCAAUCCUCUUAAAGAGUUCAUAUCGACAAGAGGGUUUACGACCUCGAUGUUGGAUCAGGGCCCCCUAAUGGUGCAGCAACUAUUAAAGGUUCGUUUGUUCAACGAUUAAAGCCCUACG